RNAcentral lists this ribosomal RNA (252 nucleotides) under uncultured prokaryote. RNAcentral describes it as "partial 16S ribosomal RNA". It matches the Rfam family "Bacterial small subunit ribosomal RNA", at positions 523 to 774 of the family's 1533-position model. The record is from RNAcentral.
AUACGUAGGGUCCGAGCGUUGUCCGGAAUUAUUGGGCGUAAAGAGCUCGUAGGCGGUUUGUCGCGUCUGCUGUGAAAUCCCGAGGCUCAACCUCGGGUCUGCAGUGGGUACGGGCAGGCUGGAGUGCGGUAGGGGAGAAUGGAAUUCCUGGUGUAGCGGUGGAAUGCGCAGAUAUCAGGAGGAACACCGAUGGCGAAGGCAGUUCUCUGGGCCGUAACUGACGCUGAGGAGCGAAAGCGUGGGGAGCGAACA